RNAcentral lists this transfer RNA (72 nucleotides) under Glyptocidaris crenularis. RNAcentral's name for it is "tRNA-Gln". It matches the Rfam family "tRNA". From Rfam's summary of the family: Transfer RNA (tRNA) molecules are approximately 80 nucleotides in length. Their secondary structure includes four short double-helical elements and three loops (D, anti-codon, and T loops). The record is from RNAcentral. Lineage: Eukaryota; Metazoa; Echinodermata; Echinoidea; Phymosomatoida; Phymosomatidae.
UAGAGAGUAGUUUAGUUGGGAAAACGAAGAACUUUGAUUUCUUAGCUGUGGGUUCGAUUCCCGCCUCUUUAA